Molecule: ribosomal RNA, 466 nt
Filed under: uncultured bacterium
Lineage: Bacteria
Description: partial 16S ribosomal RNA
Rfam family: Bacterial small subunit ribosomal RNA
Source: RNAcentral
GAUGAACGCUGGCGGCGUGCUUAACACAUGCAAGUCGAACGGAAAGGCCCAAGCUUGCUUGGGUACUCGAGUGGCGAAUGGGUGAGUAACACGUGGGUGAUCUGCCCUGCACUUCGGGAUAAGCCUGGGAAACUGGGUCUAAUACCGGAUAGGACCACAUUUUGGAUGGUGUGGUGGAAAGUUUUUCGGUGUGGGAUGAGCUCGCGGCCUAUCAGCUUGUUGGUGGGGUAAUGGCCUACCAAGGCGUCGACGGGUAGCCGGCCUGAGAGGGUGUACGGCCACAUUGGGACUGAGAUACGGCCCAGACUCCUACGGGAGGCAGCAGUGGGGAAUAUUGCACAAUGGGCGCAAGCCUGAUGCAGCGACGCCGCGUGGGGGAUGACGGCCUUCGGGUUGUAAACUCCUUUCGCUAGGGACGAAGCGUUAUGUGACGGUACCUGGAGAAGAAGCACCGGCUAACUACGUG